UACAGAGGGUGCGAGCGUUAAUCGGAAUUACUGGGCGUAAAGCGCACGUAGUCGGCUUUGCAAGUCGGGUGUGAAAUCCCCGGGCUCAACCUGGGAACUGCAUCCGAGACUGCAUUGCUAGAGUAUGGGAGAGGGAAGCGGAAUUUCUGGUGUAGCGGUGAAAUGCGUAGAUAUCUGGAGGAACACCGGUGGCGAAGGCGGCAUCCUGGACCGGCAUUGACGCUGAGGCGCGAAAGCUAGGGGAGCAAACGGG
Molecule: ribosomal RNA, 253 nt
Filed under: uncultured bacterium
Lineage: Bacteria
Description: partial 16S ribosomal RNA
Rfam family: Bacterial small subunit ribosomal RNA
Source: RNAcentral